This 312-nucleotide ribosomal RNA is filed under the name Triticum aestivum (bread wheat). Its description in RNAcentral is "partial small subunit ribosomal RNA". The record is from RNAcentral. Lineage: Eukaryota; Viridiplantae; Streptophyta; Magnoliopsida; Poales; Poaceae.
AUGUGGCAACUUUUCAGAGAUGCUAUUCUUACUAGAGACAAUUUGAAAAACCUAAGUGCUUGGGGAAUUCCGGAUGUUCUUUCUACUCCGAGCAGUAGAAUGCAAGACAUGUAUUUUUUGAAUGUCAUAUGGCUAGAGCUGUGUGGGGAACUUUUGGUAAGGUCGUUGGGGCAGAAUGUAGCCGUAAUAACAUUUGGCAAAGGCGGACCUGGUUUUAUGCUUUUCUUCCUGGUGGGCAUAAGUUUUAUAUGUCGGGGAUUGCUGCUACAUGCUGGGGUGUUUGGACUGUAUAAGAAACAAAGUUACUUUUGA